RNAcentral lists this ribosomal RNA (245 nucleotides) under uncultured bacterium. RNAcentral describes it as "partial 16S ribosomal RNA". It matches the Rfam family "Bacterial small subunit ribosomal RNA", at positions 524 to 768 of the family's 1533-position model. The record is from RNAcentral.
UACGGAGGGUGCGAGCGUUAUUCGGAAUUACUGGGCGUAAAGCGCGCGCAGGCGGGUCGGCAAGUCUGAUGUGAAAGCCCCGGGCUCAACCUGGGAAGUGCAUUGGAAACUGUCGGUCUUGAGUCCUGGAGAGGAAGGGGGAAUUCCCGGUGUAGAGGUGAAAUUCGUAGAGAUCGGGAGGAAUACCAGUGGCGAAGGCGCCCUUCUGGACAGUGACUGACGCUGAGGCGCGAAAGCGUGGGGAG